GUGAGGAAUAUUGGUCAAUGGGCGCGAGCCUGAACCAGCCAAGUAGCGUGAAGGAUGAAGGUCCUACGGAUUGUAAACUUCUUUUAUAAGGGAAUAAAGUCGCCUACGUGUAGGCGUUUGUAUGUACCUUAUGAAUAAGCAUCGGCUAACUCCGUGCCAGCAGCCGCGGUAAUACGGAGGAUGCGAGCGUUAUCCGGAUUUAUUGGGUUUAAAGGGAGCGUAGACGGAGGAUUAAGUCAGUUGUGAAAGUUUGCGGCUCAACCGUAAAAUUGCAGUUGAUACUGGUCCCCUUGAGUGCAGUUGAGGCAGGCGGAAUUCGUGGUGUAGCGGUGAAAUGCUUAGAUAUCACGAAGAACCCCGAUUGCGAAGGCAGCCUGCUAAGCUGUAACUGACGUUGAUGCUCGAAAGUGUGGGUAUCAAACAGGAUUAGAAACCCGAGUAGUCCC
RNAcentral lists this ribosomal RNA (446 nucleotides) under uncultured bacterium. RNAcentral's name for it is "bacterial SSU rRNA". It matches the Rfam family "Bacterial small subunit ribosomal RNA", at positions 354 to 797 of the family's 1533-position model. The record is from RNAcentral.